This is a long non-coding RNA of Drosophila persimilis, 391 nucleotides long. RefSeq lists it as uncharacterized. The record is from RefSeq and is a predicted model, not a curated record. Lineage: Eukaryota; Metazoa; Arthropoda; Insecta; Diptera; Drosophilidae. The transcript is spliced from 3 exons.
AGGGAGAGAGAGAAGGGAGCACGCAUGUACAUACAUAUACAGCGAUGGUAUGUUGGUCGUCGUUCCUGCCCCAUAGAAAGCAAGGGAUGGAUGCUGUAAGCCCCGCUAGCGGCGAAAAAGCCUUUGCAAGCACACACACACCCCUCCAAAUUCAUACUACCCAGUGGACAAAAACUUCGGCAACGCGCAAGCCCCUAAUACAUUUCCUGGCCUCUGUGCCACGCCAAGAACACUGUCGUGCGACCUUGUCCGCAAGAAAGAUGGUGCCAAGAGCUACGAAUCCAUUGGUCGAACGCUUCCUCGCUGGACAUCUAAAGCUCUGAGAUCUGUACAGAAUAGUAGUAGUAAGUAAAUCCCGCUCUUCCAGCAAACUCUGUUCAAAGCUGUCCCG